CAGAACCAGUCUGUACCCUUUUACCCUGAGGACCAACAUGAUAAGACUUCUCAUUGUACUAACUGUAAGCCUGCAGUGUGUUUCAGGGGAGAAUGAUGUUAUACAGAAUCCCAGCAUAAUCUUCACUUCAGAGGGCCAUGAGGCACAUCUAAAGUGCAGACACACCAAGGGUGAUGCUUUCUUCCAAAUGUACUGGUACCGUCAGCGGCACCAGGAAUCACUGACACUCAUAGUGUUCACAACUCCCAGUAGCAAGCCAGACUUUGGCUCCUUCAGUGGAGAUAAGUAUUAUGCUGCUAAAAAGAAUGCCUCGAAUGGAUCUCUCACAGUGAACAAACUGACAGCAGAAGACAGUGGUUUAUAUUUUUGCGCAGUAAGACAGCACAGUGUGACAGACAAAUGUUAUGCCACAAUGACACAUCAAGGGUUCAACUUUCAAAAGGAUGUACUGGUACUGUCAGCACCAUGGGGAGAGCUCAUUGUGUACAUGACCAGCUUUGGCACCAUAGACUGGAAAUUCAGCAAAACAGACAGUUCCUGA
Electrophorus electricus (electric eel) is the source of this 541-nucleotide non-coding RNA. The record is from the annotation of a RefSeq genome assembly. NCBI's taxonomy places the organism in Eukaryota, Metazoa, Chordata, Actinopteri, Gymnotiformes, Gymnotidae.